AAUGUUACAAAAUCAAGGAGGUUUCGGUGGAAACACUCAUGAUAAUCCGAAAAAUGAGACUUGCAAUGGAAUCACUUUGAGGAGUAGAGAGAUACCGGAAAGGCCAGCUGUGGAGAAGCCCUUGAAAAAGAAGGUCAAUGAGGGGGAGGUUGAAAAUAAGCACGAGGUUGUAGUUGAAAAUGAGAGACAUGAGGGAGAAGUAGAAAAUGAAAAUAUGUCUAAGGAAGUGGAGAUUAGUGAGGAUGAGAAAGGAGAAGUUGAAAAACAGAGGGAGAUAAAAGAAAAAGAAAGUAAGAAGGUUGAGAAAGGUAAGGGAAUUGAUGAAUCACC
This 330-nucleotide long non-coding RNA is filed under the name Trifolium pratense (red clover). Its description in RNAcentral is "long non-coding RNA (TPRA_LNC007032)". Lineage: Eukaryota; Viridiplantae; Streptophyta; Magnoliopsida; Fabales; Fabaceae. The record is from RNAcentral.